CCUACGGGAGGCAGCAGUGAGGAAUAUUGGUCAAUGGGUGCGAGCCUGAACCAGCCACGUAGCGUGAAUGAUGACUGCCCUACGUGUUGUAAACUUCUUUUAUAGAGGAGUAAAGUGAGGCACGUGUGCCUUUUUGUAUGUACUUUAUGAAUAAGGCUCGGCUAACUCCGUGCCAGCAGCCGCGGUAAUACGGAGGAUCCGGGGGUUAUCCGGAUGUAUUGGGUUAAAAGGGUGCGUAGGCGGACUGUUAGGUCAGCGGUAAAAGCCCGGGGUUCAACCCCGGCGAGCCGUUGAAACUGGGUGGCUGGAGAGGUCGAGAGGUAUGCGGAAUGCGCAGUGUAGCGGUGAAAUGCUUAGAUAUUGCGCAGAACUCCGAUGGCGAAGGCAGCAUACCGGCGGCGAUCUGACGCUGAGGCACGAAAGCGUGGGUAGCGAACAGGAUUAGAUACCCGUGUAGUC
This 459-nucleotide ribosomal RNA is filed under the name uncultured bacterium. Its description in RNAcentral is "partial 16S ribosomal RNA". It matches the Rfam family "Bacterial small subunit ribosomal RNA", at positions 338 to 795 of the family's 1533-position model. The record is from RNAcentral.